This 552-nucleotide unclassified non-coding RNA is filed under the name Leishmania donovani. RNAcentral describes it as "gene:unknown". Lineage: Eukaryota; Euglenozoa; Kinetoplastea; Trypanosomatida; Trypanosomatidae. The record is from RNAcentral.
UCUCUGUAUCUUCGACGUUUCACUGCUGUACUCGCGUGCCGCGAUGCAAGUGGUGCGUCAAUCUGCUUGAUCGCGGCGGGAGGUAAGAGGGAGAGCUUCAGGACAGGACGGCCUUACUGCCUACUCGGCGUGAUGUGCAGCGAGGCGUCUAUGAUCAAGGGGAGAGGAGAGCGAGGCAGGGAGAGAGCGAACUCAAGGGGACGCGGGGUCGCAUCGCUGACAAUACGUCGUCACUCGAGUCUCUCUCUGGCCCCUUCGCCUUCUCUUGCAGGGGGCGUCGUCUAUUACGCAGAAAAAAAAAGACAAUAUAUAUGUAGGUGUGUAUACGCAUAUGUAAUAUAUAUGUGUGUGUGUGCGCCAUUCCUCCACAUACCGACCAACGCACAAAAUACUGCCCCUCUCGCUCUUUUUUUCUUCUCGUCCUUCCUCUCACGUCGCUUUCUGGCACCCUUUGGACGCACUGCACCGCACGCGUUUCCUCCUUCCUGGUUGGCGCCGGGGUGCGUGCUGAACACACCCCCCUCUUUCUCCCACGUCUUCUCCUUGUACCAG